Molecule: ribosomal RNA, 449 nt
Filed under: uncultured bacterium
Lineage: Bacteria
Description: bacterial SSU rRNA
Rfam family: Bacterial small subunit ribosomal RNA
Source: RNAcentral
GUGGGGAAUUUUGCACAAUGGGCGCAAGCCUGAUGCAGCAACGCCGCGUGUGUGAUGAAGGUCUUCGGAUCGUAAAGCACUUUCGACCGGGACGAAACAGCGACACCCAACACGUGUCGCCUUGACGGUACCGGGAGAAGAAGCACCGGCUAACUCUGUGCCAGCAGCCGCGGUAAUACAGAGGGUGCAAGCGUUGUUCGGAAUUAUUGGGCGUAAAGCGCGUGUAGGCGGCUUUGCAAGUCGGGUGUGAAAGCCCUCAGCUCAACUGAGGAAGUGCGCCCGAAACUGCAGAGCUUGAGUACCGGAGAGGAUGGCGGAAUUCCCCAAGUAGAGGUGAAAUUCGUAGAUAUGGGGAGGAACACCGGUGGCGAAGGCGGCCAUCUGGACGGUCACUGACGCUGAGACGCGAAAGCGUGGGUAGCAAACAGGAUUAGAAACCCCUGUAGUCC